GAUACAGCAGGCACGCGCACAGAGCCGCGGGGUUUGGAUCCCACAAUGAACCGGGAAUUAAACCGGAAUGAAAUAAACCUGUUCGGGGAAGAAUGAACGCGUUAAAGCUGUAAGAUGGAGGAAGCAGAUCUGGAGUCUUACCUCAGCGCCAAGUUUCAUCUCUCAGCCUGUAUUUUCUGCUGGGCGCUGCUCAAAAUCUGCCAGAGGAGAUUACGCGCGUCUCCGGUCGUCUCGCAGUCAUUCAGGCUUCACAGCGUGUUAGAAGCAGAUCUGAUGGUGAAUGAAAGAAUGAACUCGGUGUGAAAGAGAAACUCGGUGGAAUGUUCUGGACGAGCUUUAACGAGUCGCCGAGGACCGGAGCGUGUUCCUGCAUCGUUACAUACAGCGACCAAUCAGACUCCAGCUGUCGAGGACUUCGCUACACAUGCUGCUCAUCCAGAAGAUGUCGACUCUCUCCAGGAGAAGAGCGCAGAAAGUCGAGAUGUUUGGAGAGAAUCAGCACUGGAAGAAGCUCAGGACAUGACUGAGGAGUAUUUUGAGACGUGCUCGUGGCACGGCGACGCUUCCUCGGAUUAUAUUGGAGAUCACGUGAACUUCUCUUCUCCUAAACGCUCCCCUGGCCUCAGAAAGCAGGACUCAGAAGGUCAGCAUGCGGUAGUUGGUGGUCCACAGCGGAACACGGAUGGAGAGGAACUCACGGUAGCAUUGGGAAGCGAGUGCAGCUUCCCAGACUCGGAUUCAGGAUGUGCAGUUCUCGAGGAAGCUGGACUUCCCUUUCUCUCACAUACCAGCGUGUUGGAUGCACCAAAAGACUCCGAUUCACAACUUUUUACAACUGGUGAGGAACUCCUGGUACAGGUGGAGGACAGCUGCGAUGCAGUGAUUUUGGAGGAUUCAGGGUGUGAUGAAGCUGCAAAUCAGUCACCAUCUGAGGAAGCUGGACUUCCUUCCAUCCUGCAGUCCAGCACAGCAGCAGAAGACUUAACUGGUUCGGAUUUAGUUGUUGCAAGCAGAGAUCUUGUGGAUGUUUCUUCUUCUAAAUGCCUCCGAAAGCUGGACUCUUCUUAUUCAGAAAGAAUGGAUGAUGUUCUCGAGAUAAACACUGGUGAAGAGCAACUCCUGGCACUAUUAUCCAGUGAGUCCAGUGUAAUGAUUUCAGAUCAUUCAGGGCAUCGUUCAUCUCUUGAGAUCGUGUCGGAGGAAGCUGGACUUCCUUCCAUUUCUCAGGCUACGUCUGAAGAAACCCUUACGCUGACUGACAGAAGUGAAGCAGCGCCGCGGUUAGAACAAACUCCUGAUUUAAGCACAGAUCAUAGGAAAUGUUCUUCUCCUAGAAGCUCUCCUGACCUCAGAAAUCUUCAUUCAGGGUGUGAUGAAGUUCUAAAUGGUUCAUCCGUUGAGGAAGCUGGACUUCCUUUCAUCUCUCAGGCUAGUGUCUCUGUCCCAAAUUUGACGGAUUCACAACUUUUCACAAUUCCUCAAGAGAAACCUGAUCUGAUCUACAGAAGUACAUCAGAACCAGAGUUAAACAGCACUUCAGAUUUCACUGUUACAAGCAAUCACAGAGAUCAUGGGAUCUUUCCUUCUCCUAAAAGCUCUCCUGACCUCAGGAAUCUGGACUCUUCUCAUUCAGAAGGGAAGAACAGUGGUCUGGAGAUGAACACGGAUGGAGAGCAACUCCUGGAACCAUUGACAAGGGAGUGCAGGGUGAUCAUUCUCGAUCAUAAUGCUGCUGAUGUUUCAGCUGUUAGGAUUUUCUCCAAGGAAGCUGGGCUACCUUCCAUCUCUGAGGUUUGCGUAUCCGACCCGGAUGUGAUCGAUUCACAACUUUUUCCAACUUCCGUAGAGACACCUGUAGAGCUCACCUGUAGAAGUGAAGAAGCUCGUCAGUUAGAAAACACUUCAAAUUUAGUUGUUGCAAGCAACGAUCAAGUGGAUUGUUCUCCUAAACGUUCUCCUGACCUCAGAGACCUGGAAAACCUGGAGUCAUCUCAUUCAGAAAUAAAGAAUGAUGGUCAGCAGAUGAACGCUGAUGAAGUGCAACACAAAGUACCACUGGAAAAUAGUGCAGUAGUGGUCAGUGCAGUGAUUUUAGAUGAUUCAGAUGAUGAAGCUGCAAACUGGUCAUUUCUUGAGGAAGCUGGACUUCCUUCCAUCUUGCACACCAACACUGCAUCAAAAGACUUGACGGAUUCAGAACUUUUUACAACUGAAGAUACACUUACAUCUACUGACCAAACUGACACAGUGCUCCAGUUAGACAACGCAUCAGAAUCAGACGCCCCAAGCAGAGAUCUUGUAGAAUGUUCUUCUCCUGACCACAAACAUCUGGACUUAGUUCAUUUAGAAAUCAAGAAUGAUGGCGUUCAAUUAAAAACAGUCACAGAAGAACUUGUAGUACCUUUGACAGGAAACUACAGUGCAGUGAUUUUAGAUUCUUUAUCCUGUGACGAAAUUGUGGAUCCAUCAUCGUUUGAGACCUUGUCCAAGGAAGCUGGACUUCCCUUCAUCUCCCAGGCCAGCACGUCUGACACAGCUUUGAUUACUGACCAAACUGAAGCUGUGGCCCAGUUAGACAGACCUAGUUCCGAUCUAGACUUUGCACGUGAAGAUCAAUUUGAUUUCCCUUCUCCUAAAAGCUCUCCUGACCUCAGGGAUCUGGACUCUUCUCCUUCAGAAAGGAAGAACAGUGGUCUGGAGAUGAACACGGAUGGAGAGCAACUCAUGGUACCACUGGCUAAUGACUGCAGUGUAGUAACUGCAGAUGAUCUGGAGAAUGCAGAAAUUGUUAAUCGGUUAUCUUCUGAGGAAGCUGGACUUCCUUCCAUCUGUCAAGCUAGCGUGUCUGACACAGACUCAAUCGAUUCACAAAGUUUUACAGCUUCUACGUGCACACUAACCCUCACUGACCGAAGUGAAGCAGAACCCCAAUUAGAAACCUCUUCUGAUUUAGACCAUGUGGACUUUUCUUCUUCUGAACACUUUACUGACCUCAGAAACCUGGACUCUGCUCAUUCAGAAAGAAAGAAUGAUGGCCUGGAGGUGAAUGCGGAGGGAGAGGAACUCUCAGUACCUCUGGUAGGUGGCUGCAAUGCAUUUAAUUUAGAUGUCUCAAGGUGUGAUGAAGUUUUAAAAGGUUCAUCUCUUGAGGAAGCUGGAUUUUCAUCUGUCUCACAAGCUAGUGUAUCUCAUACAACAUCAAAAAACCUGACUUCUGAGGAGAUCCCUACAAUGAGAGACAAAAUUAAGGCCGAAUCCCAGUUAGACAGCACUUUUCAUUUAGAUGGUUCGAGAACAGAUCAUGGGAGCAUACCUUCUCCUACAAGCUCUCCUGAAAUCAGAAAUCUGGACUCGUCUUAUUCUGAAAGAAAGGGAACUGAUAAAGAGGAACUCGUGGUACCAUUAGCAAGUGAAUGCAAUGGAGAAGAUGAUGUUGAGAAUGCAGAAAUUGAUCAUUGUUUAUCUCCUGAGGAAACUGGACUUCCUUCACAGAAUGAAGGUCUGGAGAAGAACAAGGAUGGAGAGGAACUCAUUGUACUCUUGGACCCCAAUGCAGUGAUUUUAGGUGAUCCAGGGCAGGAUGAAGUUCUAAAUGGUCCAUCUCCUGAGGUAGCUGAACUUCUUUCCAUCUCUCAGGAUGGCACGUACAACACAGAUUCGAUCAGUUCACACCUUUUUACAUCUUGUAAACACACCCUUGCACCACCAGAUGGAAGUGAAGCAGAGCCUUCUUUAGAGAACGCAUCUGAUUUAACUGGUGCAAGUAGAAAUGAAGAAGAAUCAGAUAAUGUAAAUAAAAUGGAGAAUCUCACUGUUCCUGAAUUAUCACAGAUAAUUUUAAGCACAAAUAUGGUAGAACAUCUGGGACAGAUUGAUGAAGCUAGGGUCAAACCUUCAGAGGUAAAUAGUAACAUAUUUGUGGAUCUAUCAGUAGAUGCGAAGAUGUUCGUAGAUCCAUUAAUGGGUGGAUGUCCUUGUGUUCAGUCUUCUGUCAGCUCUAGUCUUCAGUCUGAAGGUGUAACAUCACUCCAAAAGGAUCAGAGACACUUUUCCAAUCCAAACAUCAACAAGGAGAACUUAUUCGAAAGUUCUCCGUCUAUUAAAGACAGUGAUGAUUAUUCAGCAGAGGAAGAUUCCUCGAGUCCGUCGUGUGCUAACGGUUUUAUUCCAGAGCUUCACGUUCCAAUGAAUGAUGAACAAACUUUGGAUUUGGACAAUGAUCAAACUGAAAGGCGGUCUAAAAAUGUAGAUGAUUUGAUAAAUGUGCCGUUUCUGAACACUUUCAGUGUGAAGGAAUUCACGGUCAUACCCCAGAAAGAGCAGGAGGUCAUUUAUUCAGAUAACUCGGGUUAUAUCGACUCUUAUGUGAUGCCAUCUUCAGCUGGUAAAGAAUCACAACGUGUUCCCUUCGAUUGUGUUCGAGGAGAUGUUGUAGACAGCUAUGUAGGACAACUACCAGGUCCAGUUGAGGUUUUAUUCAAGGAAUCGACUCCUUUAGGUUCUCUUAACAUCACCAAAUUCACUAAACAGGUCCUGCAAGGAGACCAGGCUACGUCUGAGAAGGUCUGUGCGAAGGAGCAUGAAGCUAGUAUUUCAUAUGAUGAUUAUUGUAUGCAGGAAACAUCUGGCUUAAAAGCCUCACUGCAUUUUGAUGGUUCACAUCAUGGUUCAGACACAAACAAUAACACGAAGCAGCACACACCUGAGACACCUUGCACUUUACAUGCUCCUACACUAGAACAGGAACUCUGGAAUCAUGUGCAUCCAUCCAUGCAAGAUGGUCCCUCGAACGUCUUCUCAAAUUUAUCAAACAAUUCUGCCGGCUUCUUUGAGAUCUCUGAACGAGUCAUGAUGGAUUACAAAAGGGAUCAUUCAAAUCCACUUGAUGUAGAAGAUGCUUCUCAGGGGAAGAUGUAUGGUAAAGAGUGCCAGUUGGGGGAACACCAGGACAUCAUGGCAGAUCCUACUGUCCGUCCAGUCGCGGAUGCUCACCGUGGACUGAUUCAUUCCAGUUGUCAGAGCUCUGAGUUUUCAUACGCUCUUUCUAUAAAUGGACCUACAUGUCAGAAGAUCCUCCGAGAGCAAAGCCUAAUGCCUCACUCUGCCUCAAUCAGUGUUACCAGUGGAUCAGGAACUUAUGAAUCCGAAGCAGCACCUUUUUGUCCAGAUUCACUUCAGAUCCAGAGUUACCCUUCUAUAGAUGUUAGCACUGGCCUAGUAUCAGAUUUGGAGCCCAUUAUGGAGUCGGAGCACCCUCAGGAGAUCUCAGAGAGUUUGAAUGGAGAACUGAAGGAUCUUGUAUCAUCUGCGAAUGAGGACGAAUGCACCCCUUUACAAAGGGAUGAAAAUGAUGCGCUAUACAAUGUCGGGUCUAUGAGAGGAUUUUCUGAUAAACCAGAAGAUGUAGACACCACCUCUUGUCUGACAAACGAGUGUGAUGCUAAUGAUGAUGAUGAUGAUGAUGAUAUUCCCAAUUCCGCAUCUCCAGAUCAAGACUUUAUUACAACAAACAGUGAAGAAGUUGAAGAUCCCAGUCACGGCACAACAGGAAGCAACUCGAACUCCACUGGCAGCAGCCAGAGCUUAUUAAAGAACAAGGAGACCAAGAGCAUGUCUGCAGGGAAAAGCUCAAAGUUCUCCAGGUUCACAAGAAUCCCCUCCUUCCGCAAAAGCAAGAGAGAGAUCAAGGUUGGAAGCAAGGUUGAACCUGAGAGCAAAAUAUCUCCUGAGGUUGGAGAGGAGAGAAAUCAGACACCUAGUCAUAAUCCUACUGUAGAUCACUCGACAAAAUACGAGGAUCAAUCUAGUGAUGUGGUCUUGGGGAAAGCCCUUGGUGUAACCUGGAAUGAACAAUCCAAAUCCACGUCCAGCUCCAAGAAUACACAACAACAUGACAGUUACAGUGAGCGAGGGCAAACGAAACCUGUUCUUGAUCCCCAGAAGAAAAGCAAGAGCAGUGAUAACUUCCGCAUGAAGCUCGCACUGGCUCAGAAGUCUCUGUCGAGCUUGUUCGAGAUCCGAACUGCUGAAAAAGACCACCAACAGGAUCCCAGCGUUCUGAACCAGGAUACAAAAUCCAAGCAACCUUGGGUGAAGAGAAAAAUGUCUAAGGAUUCUGAGAUGCUAAAGAGAACUCUCUCUCUUCCUGGACCAAGUGGUGCCAAGUCUAGAUGUCGCCACCUGAGUGACUUAGUGUCUGGGUUAACCGAGGAUCGUCCGGAUCUUCAGGGAUUCCAGAGCUCCAAGGGGGAUUUUAAAAGCACAUCACACUCUGAAGCAUCAGUGUCUGGACCUAAGGCGGAGCCUGUUGAGAGGAAUACACUAUCUAAUGGCUUAGCUAAAAACUUUGAGGCUGUCCACAGUCAUGAGAACAUCUCGGAGAAACCCAUGCACCCUAGUGUUUUUGCUCUAACAAAUCAGCUAUCUCCAUCCUGGACAAGAUCCCUGGGUUCCUUUGAAGGACUUGAUACACCAACUAAGCCAAUGACUCCCAAACCACAAAAUCCUGGGGUUUGGGGCCAGAGGAGCAGCCUCCGCAACCCCUCAAAAUCCGUUGCCACCUCCCUGUGUUCUCUUGGUGAGGGUCCGAGUUUGGAGGGACUGUCAGAUCGUUCAGAAAGGCGAGUUGGGCAAAGAGCAACACGACUUGCGUCGGCUCAGUCCUUUGAGUCGGAGUACUUACUCGAAGACAUCAACUCGGACAACCGAUCUCAAACCAGCCUGGUGUCCACCAACUCCGCCACGCAGUCUGAGGAUGGUGGUACAUCAUCUCUCCAGUCAUCUUCGUCCGUGCUCCGUGUCAGAAGACGCGAUCGGCGUGUGGUCCGACCCAGACCGGUCUCUGACCUCUGCAGCUGGACUUUACCUCUGCGGGAAAUCGGAGAGACGGCGGCCGGUGCGAUUCAGGAGAGGAACGUCACAGAUAAUUGGACGGCUAAGGCGCAGAAGAGAUCGUGCUCAGAUGAGCUGCUCGGGGAGUUCCAGGAAGUGCAGAAGACGAAGGUGAUGCUGCAGAGGAGCCUCGGGACGCUGAGCACCACAUCUGAAGAGCAGCAGAAAGUACAGAUGAGACUGUCCUUCACUUCUCCACAGCAAUUGUCCUCCACCUCUCUUAAAGACCACUUCUUCUCUCAGAGCACUCCGAUUGGACUGGACUGUCUCCACUGGCCACGCCCAGUUUCAUUCUCAGAGUCGUGUCUCGUCCGACCUUCAGAGCACACACUCGCGCAGCCGGCCGCUCUCGGUGAGUAAACGUUCUUUAAAUUGUGCGAUGGUACAGAGUUUAUCCAGCAGCUGCUGUUGGGGAAAUCACAGAGAGAGAAAACAGGAAAAGCGCUGUGACAUCAUCAUCACGCGACGAGUUUCUUUCUACGCUCACGUGAACUCUCAGACGUCCCUUGUCUCACGUCUCAGCAGUGUCAUAAUAUCAUGUUUUACUUUUUUAUUCUUCUCUUCUUUCAUGUUUUUGCUCAGUUUUGGUCAGUCACCUGUUUUUAAACUAAUUUAUAAAUGAUUUUUAGUGUUUUUUUCUGAUGCUCUUGCCUCAGGUUCUCAAAUAAACUCGAAAAAUAAUCAUUAUUAAAUUAACAGAGGAUUUUUAGGCCUUUUAAAGCUCCGCUCAGAGAAACUAAUUUUAACAUUUAAAAAAAUGACUGCUGUUUAGUAAUCUAAACAAAAAAAU
Long non-coding RNA from Ictalurus punctatus (channel catfish), 7681 nucleotides. The record is from Ensembl. NCBI's taxonomy places the organism in Eukaryota, Metazoa, Chordata, Actinopteri, Siluriformes, Ictaluridae.